UAGGGAAUCUUCCACAAUGGACGCAAGUCUGAUGGAGCAACGCCGCGUGAGUGAAGAAGGUUUUCGGAUCGUAAAGCUCUGUUGUUGGUGAAGAAGGAUAGAGGUAGUAACUGGCCUUUAUUUGACGGUAAUCAACCAGAAAGUCACGGCUAACUACGUGCCAGCAGCCGCGGUAAUACGUAGGUGGCAAGCGUUGUCCGGAUUUAUUGGGCGUAAAGCGAGCGCAGGCGGAAGAAUAAGUCUGAUAUGAAAGCCCUCGGCUUAACCGAGGAACUGCAUCGGAAACUGUUUUUCUUGAGUGCAGAAGAGGAGAGUGGAAUUCCAUGUGUAGCGGUGGAAUGCGUAGAUAUAUGGAAGAACACCAGUGGCGAAGGCGACUCUCUGGUCUGCAACUGACGCUGAGGCUCGAAAGCAUGGGUAGCGAACAGG
This 429-nucleotide ribosomal RNA is filed under the name bacterium. RNAcentral's name for it is "partial 16S ribosomal RNA". It matches the Rfam family "Bacterial small subunit ribosomal RNA", at positions 355 to 776 of the family's 1533-position model. The record is from RNAcentral.